ACAGAAGCGGAACGCGCGUCGAGAGCGCCCUGUCCGCUCGCCCCAGACAGAUGCCCGGUUAUUCAUUACCGCGAGGCCUAGAGGAAAGAGUGGCUGCCGUCUUCCUGCCCACAGCCCGCCGGACCCUCCGUCGCGGCUGCCCGGUCCCCGGAGCCGCAGCCGCCGAGCCCGGCUGUGCGUGUCGUGGCUGCUGGGGAGAAAGAGGCUUCCGGAAGCCCCAGAGAGAUUGGUGAGGGUGAUUUCCCAGGAAGACGCAGUGUGCUCUGACUUCUGUGACAGUGAGCAACGGGACCAGUGGAUGUCCAGAUGCUGGCAAUGAGACAUGCUCUGGAGUCAGAAGACAGCGAAAAGAGAAGCAGAAGCCCCGGUGGCAAGAGUCUGAAGCAGGAAGGAUGACUGUAGCCUGUGGAUUGUACUGCAGUAGGAAACUGUCCUAGCAAGGCUCCACUUUGCCCCAGCUUCAAGCUGGAAAGGAGGAGAACAUGAAACAUUGCUUGAAGACAAUGGCCGAGACAGCAGGUCCCACCCUGCACAGCCACCAGCAUCUCUCCCCUCAGCCCUGUCUCCUCUUCUGCAGUUGGGAUCUGCACAUUUAAGCCUGAAAUUGUCCUGUGAAGUGAAGUAUGAUCGGACAGCCUCUUUUCAGCUUUUAUGACAAUGGAGACAGAGGAAUUGUGGCUCUUGCCAAGGUCACAGGAUUGGAAUACAGAGCCAAGCCACCCCAGGACAUGCAAGAGCCUCAGAAGGGAAAAAAGCCCAGCAGGAAGGGAGAACAAGUAGCCUCUGUCCUGAAGUUGUAACAGCCAGGGGCCAGGAUGGAGGAGGAGGACCCCAUAAUCUGCCCAUCUGGGACUUGGCAGGGGACCUGGGAAAAUGUACCCCAACCCAUCCCUUAAGGGCCUUUGUCUUUGGCCCAUUGGCCUAGCAUCUACUUCUUCACCGUGUCUGUUCUUGUCACACCUAGUCAGGUCUGUUUGGGUCUGAGGUGCAUGGAACAUUCUGGGUAGGCCUCCAGCAAACGGAAGCUCUUCACCGUGUUUCCAGCCUGGGACCAAGGGCAGCAUACUGGCAAAGUUGCCAAAGCAAGGGACUCCAGCCUCUUAGGAGUUAAUGACUCCCUCUCCCCAGCUGUCCUCCCCUUGGUGCUCCUCUUCCUCCCUCCUCCUGCUCACAGCAGGCAGGGCCUAGACCCGGGAGCCAUGCUGCUGUGCUGUUGCCAGGGGAGCACGGAGGCAGAUCUGAGCUAUGCAGGGAAAAGGCCCAGCCUGUCAAAGUGUCUGAGAUGAACCGCCGCCGUCCCUGUGCAGCUGGGCUCAGACGUGUCUCAGCUCUUGUUCUGUGCCUGAGAAUGGCGAAACCCAGUGAGGUUCAAGGGCAAACUCGCUAUUCAUUAGUCAGGGGUUCUUGACGUCCCGUCUCUCCCAGGGAUGAGUUCCCCCCUCCUCUUUCUCCCCCUCCUAUGACACAUUCCUGGGUGCCUUUGGUGAGGACUGCACACCCUCCUCCUGCCUAGCCCCCUCUCCAAAGGCCCCUGAAUAAACUCCCCCCAAGGAGACCAGGCAGGGCAGAGACAAUGGCUGCAGGAAAUCAUUCAGGCGGGACAUGCUGGCCUGCCCUCCACCCAGUCCCCCUGUGGGCCCCACUCCCUUCUGAUUCAGGGCACCCUUGGGCCCCCAGCCUAUACAGGCCUGGACAGGAAGAAACCACUGGGAACCACCCUAAGGACAACAUGCUAGUCCAGUGCCAUUCUUCGCUGGCUCUGUGGGUGCCUUUGUGGCCUGUACCGACUGGCUGGCUAAUUUUGUGGUUUCUGUACCAUCACAUGCCUAUUUUAAGACACUCUCCAGCACUGUCGGUUAGGGAGUGUAAAUUUUGCAAUAUUUUCUGAAAUGUGGCAAUAUCAAAAUGUAAAAGGCACACAUACUUGGUCACAAACAAAUGGCACUAUUUACUCUGUGGGCAUAUUUGUAAAAGUUGCCAAAGAAUUAUAUACAAGGAUGUUCAUCAGAGCAUUUCUUUUGAAGAGUAAAGAAAUGGACAUG
RNAcentral lists this long non-coding RNA (2042 nucleotides) under Homo sapiens (human). RNAcentral's name for it is "lnc-FANCI-2 transcript variant c-PA1". Lineage: Eukaryota; Metazoa; Chordata; Mammalia; Primates; Hominidae. The record is from RNAcentral.